GACGAACGCUGGCGGCGUGCCUAAUACAUGCAAGUUGAGCGCUGAAGGUUGGUACUUGUACCAACUGGAUGAGCAGCGAACGGGUGAGUAACGCGUGGGGAAUCUGCCUUUGAGCGGGGGACAACAUUUGGAAACGAAUGCUAAUACCGCAUAAAAACUUUAAACACAAGUUUUAAGUUUGAAAGAUGCAAUUGCAUCACUCAAAGAUGAUCCCGCGUUGUAUUAGCUAGUUGGUGAGGUAAAGGCUCACCAAGGCGAUGAUACAUAGCCGGCCUGAGAGGGUGAUCGGCCACAUUGGGACUGAGACACGGCCCAAACUCCUACGGGAGGCAGCAGUAGGGAAUCUUCGGCAAUGGAGGAAAGUCUGACCGAGCAACGCCGCGUGAGUGAAGAAUGUUUUCGGAUCGUAAAACUCUGUUGGUAGAGAAGAACGUUGGUGAGAGUGGAAAGCUCAUCAAGUGACGGUAACUACUCAGAAAGCGACGGCUAACUACGUG
This 497-nucleotide ribosomal RNA is filed under the name uncultured bacterium. Its description in RNAcentral is "partial 16S ribosomal RNA". It matches the Rfam family "Bacterial small subunit ribosomal RNA", at positions 28 to 507 of the family's 1533-position model. The record is from RNAcentral.